Molecule: long non-coding RNA, 508 nt
Organism: Perognathus longimembris pacificus (Pacific pocket mouse)
Lineage: Eukaryota; Metazoa; Chordata; Mammalia; Rodentia; Heteromyidae
Exons: 7
Source: RefSeq, a predicted model, not a curated record
GGAAAUCUUGAGGAGUCUGACACUUUUCAUCCUCCAGCCAUUAAUCAUUUUGUGGGGGAGAGCUGUACAUUGGUGGGAGUAAAAGACAAGUAGUUCCUGGCACCCUACAUUCCAGUAAAUCUUGUGACUGGAAGCAUGUUGGCACCAAUGCUGAAGGACAUGAUGAGCUUCAGCUCCAGGUUCCUGUCCUGAGACCAUAGCAGAAUGUGCCUUGGACAAAGGCUUCAACUCCUGGAUCAUCUGAUGACUUCAAAAAUCUGGUCUCAGGGUGGUGAACGUUUUUGAAUUCAAAACCUGUGAGCUUGUGAUGAUGGUGCCUGUCCAUUAAAUGAGAAACUGCAGUUUUGAACUUUUUGAGGCCAGGAACUGCUUCUGACAACCCCUACCUACGGUGGCUAACAAGGUAUGUCUACAAUACCCAAAAUAUUUCCUAACCACCUCUUAUAUUUGAACCCUAAUUCCCAAUGCAUUAACAAUGAUAGGUAGCUGACAACAAAUAGUGAUGAGA